Loxodonta africana (African savanna elephant) is the source of this 107-nucleotide small nuclear RNA. The record is from Ensembl. NCBI's taxonomy places the organism in Eukaryota, Metazoa, Chordata, Mammalia, Proboscidea, Elephantidae.
GUACUCCCUUUGGCAGCACAUACACUAAAAUUGGAACAAUACAGAGAAGAUUUAGCAUGGCCCCUGUGAAGGAUCACACACAAACUCGUGAAUUGUUCCAUAUUUUU